Molecule: unclassified non-coding RNA, 319 nt
Filed under: uncultured fungus
Lineage: Eukaryota; Fungi
Description: partial contains small subunit ribosomal RNA, internal transcribed spacer 1, and 5.8S ribosomal RNA
Rfam family: Eukaryotic small subunit ribosomal RNA (bases 1-73)
Source: RNAcentral
UCAAACUUGGUCAUUUAGAGGAAGUAAAAGUCGUAACAAGGUUUCCGUAGGUGAACCUGCGGAAGGAUCAUUACUGAAUUAAUGGACAGGGUUGUCGCUGGCCUUUAUUGGCAUGUGCACGCCUUGCUCAUCCCAAUUCUUAUACCUCUGUGCACCUUACAUCGGAUGGUCGUGUCUGCCCCACCUUGCGGUGGAAGCAGCAUAGCUGUCCAAUGCAUUAUUUUACACGCUUUGGUAAUGAAUGUCUACUGCAUACUAUGCAUUAAAUACAACUUUUAGCAACGGAUCUCUUGGCUCUCGCAUCGAUGAAGAACGCAGC